UGGUGGAGUGAUUUGUCUGGUUAAUUCCGAUAACGAACGAGACCCCGUCCUACUUACUAGAUCACCGAUCCUUUUUGUUGGUGACUUCUUCUUAGAGGGACAACUGUUUAAAAUGUGAACUCCGUGAAAGGGGGCGAAUAACA
Molecule: ribosomal RNA, 143 nt
Filed under: uncultured eukaryote
Lineage: Eukaryota
Description: partial 18S ribosomal RNA
Rfam family: Eukaryotic small subunit ribosomal RNA
Source: RNAcentral